CUGCUGCAACAAUAUACCGAGCCAAUCCUUCUCGCAUGUUCUGUUGUGAAUAUCUGAAUGAUGUUAUACCGGAAGGUCCAGAACCAUAUUGUGAGAGUUGGGUUUGUGUUGGGUCUUGUGGCGUGUGUUUUGUUUGACAAGUUUCCAUAUGUCGUCUAAGAUGUCCAAUUCCACCAUUGCUUUUGGCACUUAAAGCAGAUUGACAAUAUUUGCACACUGCUUGAUCCACCAUUUCACCUUUUUUGUUUUGACGUUUUUCCAAAGUAAAACAUGACCAAACAAU
This 283-nucleotide long non-coding RNA is filed under the name Citrus sinensis (sweet orange). RNAcentral's name for it is "long non-coding RNA (CSIN_LNC003189)". Lineage: Eukaryota; Viridiplantae; Streptophyta; Magnoliopsida; Sapindales; Rutaceae. The record is from RNAcentral.